RNAcentral lists this ribosomal RNA (446 nucleotides) under uncultured bacterium. RNAcentral describes it as "bacterial SSU rRNA". It matches the Rfam family "Bacterial small subunit ribosomal RNA", at positions 355 to 796 of the family's 1533-position model. The record is from RNAcentral.
UCGAGGAUCUUCGGCAAUGGGCGCAAGCCUGACCGAGCGACGCCGCGUGUGGGAUGAAGGCCUUCGGGUUGUAAACCACUGUCGGAGGGGAUGAAAUGCCCAGGGGUUCUCCCCAGGGAUUGACAUAGCCUCAAAGGAAGUACGGGCUAAGUUCGUGCCAGCAGCCGCGGUAAGACGAACCGUACGAACGUUAUUCGGAAUCACUGGGCUUAAAGGGUGCGUAGGCGGCGCGGAAAGUUGGGUGUGAAAGCCCUCGGCUCAACCGAGGAAUUGCGCCCAAAACUACCGUGCUUGAGGAAGAUAGAGGUGAGCGGAACUUAGGGUGGAGCGGUGAAAUGCGUUGAUAUCCUAAGGAACACCGGUGGCGAAAGCGGCUCACUGGAUCUUUUCUGACGCUGAGGCACGAAAGCUAGGGGAGCAAACGGGAUUAGAUACCCCCGUAGUCC